GUCAUUAAAAACAUAGCUUUUGUGAUUCUCACUGGUUUAUGAGAGGAUUUUAAGAGCGGGGGCUCGACAAGCACUUCACAGCCAAGCUACUCCCAUCCCUGUCACUUCUGCUGAAAUGGAUACGAAUUUUGAGCGUGCCAUCAAUGAUAUCAUGGCGCAGGAGGACGUGAAGGGCAUGUUGCUCAUAGAUUUGACUGGUCUGUGCAUCGCGGCUAAAGGUGUCGCAUCUGCGACGUGCAGCGGGUAUUUUCUUUCGCUGAUAAACGAGGCGUCGGAGCUUGGGUCGAGUGAAGCGCCGAUUGUCAAAAUAGAAAGCGAGAAAUAUCGAAUUUUUGUACAGAAGCAAGAAGACUUUAUUCUGGCUAUGUACAAGGCGGCUACCUAACGAGUCGACGUCUGGCUUCCAAAAAUGCGGUUCGCCUCGAUCGAGAGUUCCGAGGCGUUCUAUGUCGAAUCCCUGGUUUUGAAUGCAGAGGAAACUAUCCAUCCGCUCGACUGUGACAAAAGGAACAAAUCGCUUGCCAUUCACACGCGGCCAUCAGACACGUGCUACACACGAAAGCGAGCCCCAUUCUCCUAUGGUGAUUGAAGCACACCAUCCUGUGAUCGACUUCCAUCGGCUCCUUGAGCGAGAUUUGCCUACAGGGCUUUUCCGCGAUGAAAACGGAAGAAAGGUGCCUCACAAGGUCUGCCUCGCAGUCCGCAUGCAGGUACGCGCCCCCGGUGAUUUCCGCCACUUGCUGCAAAAGAGGCGAGCCCCGCGCACACAGGCGACUUUCGUUGUGUGCACCAGACGGUUUUGGGGGGAGUAUCAUGCAGACGUCAAUAACGGCUCCUUUUUUUUGAGCCGCAAAGGCGCAAUUCAUCACAGAGAUGUGUUGCUUCAGAUCGUCACCUGACAACCGAAUCACCAGUAUCCUGAGCCUCGAGGCGGAAGCCUGGCCGUCGUAGCGCCAGUCGUCUGCCUGACGGUCGGUGCCGGCGUCGACACCUCGGCCACCGGAGUUCGCGUCGGCGCUGUUCAGAAACAAGAGCGCACGGAUCAGCGACGAAGCGAGAUUGGUACUUCUUUGAUCUCCGACAACGAUAGAACGCAUGUAGACCUCGACGGCUUGGCAAACAUCGAUGAAGGUGCAUUGGUGGACGUUUUCCUGAAAGAAACCCCAGUCCUCUGGACCGACGAGACUCGGAUAGAUCAGUUCACUAAAAAAAAAAAAGUGUACCCGUUAGAAAAACACACACACGCACAACGGCACACACAUCGCGCGCGGACGACACCUAUCGUCCGAAAACGCACCAGCGCUCGCCGUCUCCGAAAAUGGCCACGCGGUUCUGCCUGCUCAAGUGCAGGUACUGGCUGACGAAGACCAAAACGUGUUCGAACAACGCUGGAAGUGUGAGUUUGGUGGGUGCGGAGUGAUCCGGAGAAGCGGAGGAAUCGGGCCGGCGUCCGUCGCACGCGAGCAAGUACUUGACCCAAGCACGAGGCGACGUUUCGACAAUAAUCGCAAGGUAUUUGUAGAGGCCAACUUGGCUCGACAUAAGGCCAGAAUUUUGUAUAUACAGAAAAAAAAAAAAGAUCAAAA
Schistocerca gregaria is the source of this 1586-nucleotide long non-coding RNA. RefSeq lists it as uncharacterized. The record is from RefSeq and is a predicted model, not a curated record. Lineage: Eukaryota; Metazoa; Arthropoda; Insecta; Orthoptera; Acrididae. The transcript is spliced from 4 exons.